GGAAGUGUGCCUGAAAGAAAGGGCCUCCUUGAUAGGGAGGAUCAUAUGGAUUAAUACCCAUCACUUCCU
This 69-nucleotide transfer RNA is filed under the name Microhyla butleri. RNAcentral describes it as "tRNA-Ile". The record is from RNAcentral. Lineage: Eukaryota; Metazoa; Chordata; Amphibia; Anura; Microhylidae.